UACGUAGGGGGCAAGCGUUAUCCGGAUUUACUGGGUGUAAAGGGGGCGCAGACGGCGAUGCAAGCCAGGAGUGAAAGCCCGGGGCCCAACCCCGGGACUGCUCUUGGAACUGCGUGGCUGGAGUGCAGGAGGGGCAGGCGGAAUUCCUGGUGUAGCGGUGAAAUGCGUAGAUAUCAGGAGGAAUACCGGUGGCGAAGGCGGCCUGCUGGACUGCAACUGACGUUGAGGCCCGAAAGCGUGGGGAGCAAACAGG
Molecule: ribosomal RNA, 253 nt
Filed under: uncultured bacterium
Lineage: Bacteria
Description: partial 16S ribosomal RNA
Rfam family: Bacterial small subunit ribosomal RNA
Source: RNAcentral